UUGCAGUAUCAAAGUGGAGUUUAUGCUGGGCAACCAAAUCAAAAUGUCGGAUCGAUGCUGCAGCAGCACCAACCGAAUAGUUUUCCCAACAGGGUUCCACCAACAAAUGCACAUUUGGACUUUCGGGAUAGACGAACAUCAUGGAAUACCGAAUCACACCAAGAGCCAUUUUUUCACAGAAGUUUAAAAAAUCAACGCCGAAGGAAAUCCCAUCUUGAUGAUAUUUAUGGUCCAAACUUUGAAGAAUACCAGAAAAAAGAAUACCACAGAAGAAGGUAUUCUAAAUGGGACCAAUCGGACCACAGAAGUUCAGUUCUGCGAUCAAUCAAACAAAGCUCUUCGCAGAAAUCUGAAAGUGAUAGUAGGGAUUGUCACUCUAAGAAUGAUAAUAAAAAGCAAUUCACUGAUGAAAUUGACAAUAAUAAAAAGGUGGGCUGUGAUAAUGACAAUAGUCGGGUAUCGGGCUUUUCAGAAAAAUCCACUUUACCAAAUGCAAACGUUCCAAAUGAGACAAUACCCAAAAAAGUAUGUGAGGAUCUAAAAAGCACUACAAAAUGUGUUAACUUCGAAGAUAACACGGACCAAGUCAAACAGUUUCGUGAAAGUACGAAUAAAAUGAUUAACAUCAUCAGUGAUGAGAAAAUUACAAAUUCUACAGAAACAGUCAACAUAGUUGACCGAAAAAAAUCAAUUGAGGUCGAUGAUGAAAACAUGUCUGAAGAAAAAUCUGCCUUAACAAAUACUUCUAACUUCCAUCUACGAGAUAAUUCAUUGGAAAAAACUUUUUCCUCUGAUAGAAAAAUUGAAUCUGAUGAGGAAACUGUAUAUCACAGUGAUUUGAUAGACAUUGACAAAAUUGAUAAAACCAAAUCAUUUUUACCGACACUGAAAAAUAUUGAUGAAGAUGGCUCAUGUCGUGAUAAAAGAAGGAACAUUGACAACUCAAAUAAUAUGGUUCAAAUGCCAUCAAAUAAUUUUCCGGAUAUAAAUUCUGAUCGAUUGUUAAGUGAAUUGACCGAAGCAAUACAAGAUAACACCGAUAAAAAAACGGUAGAGGAUGUUACGAAUGAUCGAGCUUUAUCUACCGAGAACGAGCUCGUUAUUCAUUCCGGUAUACAUAAUGAAAAUAAUAAGCCCUCAAAAACAACAAUAAAUGGAAAUAAAUCCUCUACAGAAAGCUCUUCGCCAGUUGACCGCUUAAAACAAUCGAAAAACUGCAGUGAACAUACCAAAACAAAAUUCAAAAAACAAUGUUCUGAACAGAAGAAAAUUAUCGAAAAGAAAAAGUCUUCUAACGGGAAAAUGUCGUCAUUAUAUUAUCCCGCGUUGGCUAAUUAUACCAUCCCUAAACUGACAGAAAAGCCAAAUAAGUUCUCAGGGAUCGACGAACCAUACAUGAAAAAAAUGGAAUCUCUAUUUGGAAUUGAUGAGGAUGAUGAAAACAACCAAAGGAAGGUGAAGCCAGUGAAAAUUAAUAUUGAUUCUGAAAACAAGUCUAAAAAAAGGCUCAGUGCUAUAAACGAACAUUCAGAUUCAAAAAAGAGACGUACAGAUGGUGGUGCUACAAAAUUUCUUAAGGAGCCUAUGGGGGAUAAAAUUCGAAUAAGCAAAACAGCAACCGAAGAAGAAAAUAGAAAAAAUAAACAUACUUCCAAUAUCUCGAAGACCUUGAAAUCGACUAAUGGUUCAAAAUAUAACGUUCACAAAUUGAGCCGACAUAAAACUAAUCACAGACAUGAAUCAGUACAACCGUCUACCAAAGUGUAUAAGAAAGUUAUCGAAUCAGAAACUCAAGAUAUGAAACCAUCGGCUGCAAGUAAUUCAGAAGUAGUUAACAAAGACAAUACAGCAAACUUUAAAAACCGUGACAGAAAACAUAUGAAGAUAAUUGAUAAUAAAAGACGUAAUUCAGAAACUGUUACUUCAAAUAAAAAAUUGAUUACAGAGAGGCGACAUUCUUUGCAACUGUUCAAUUCUGAUGGAGUCAAACGAAAUAAUAAUGGAGCGAAAGAAAACAGUGAGUUACAAGUAAUAUUACAACAGAAAAAUAUUUCGAAUGAGAUUUCUAUGAAUAAAUCAGUUACCGAAAAACACAACUCAUACCGAAAAGGUGUUAUAGAAAAUGAUACCAAGUUAAACAUUCGUGAGGAAAAAAAGAUGCAAAUUGAAAAUUGUAAAGAUUUUGAUGAAAUAUCGAGUGCAUUAUCAAAGAUCUUCGAAUGCGAAACACCUAUUACAGAAAAGUAUUCAGAAUCAACAAAAACUUCAGAUGAAGUAACUAUAACUGAAAUGGAUAUUGUUUCUGAGUCUGUUUCAAAUUCAAACAGAAUAUCUGAGUCUGAAAUAAAAACUUCUGUUGGACCAAUAACUUCAAACAAAAUAUCAGGCUUUGAAAUCAAUCCUCAUGAAAACUCGUCUGCGUUGCCUUCGUUAGAGUCGCUGACAGAAUUCAAUUCAGAAACGGAAACGACUAUAUCUGAUUUUCCACAGGAAUCUUCUGAAAAGGAAACAUCUCUCCAAGUUGACAUCUCUGAUGAAGUAGCAACCAAAUCUUCAGGUGUAGAGGAAAACACUUCCAAUUGUUUGGAGUCUGAUAGCUGCAAAAAAUCUCUUUUCCAGUUACCCCAAGAUAUCACAUUUGAAAAAUCAAAUUCAGAUACGCCUAUGAUAAAAGUAACUGAAAAAGAUCAACUUGAAGUGAAUGGAAUAAAAAAUGAACUGAACUCGUUAGUUGAAGAUGAUAAAAGUGAAUCGAAAGCGCAGAAAAGUUUAUUCUUAGUAAAUACUGCCAUUAAAUGUGAAUUGUCGCUUCCUAGCGAAAACUGCAGUCCUCUUGAUGGUAUAUUCAUUCCUGAAUGUCACCGAAUUCACAGUUUUUUAGUUCUCAAUGAUUGCAGCGAAAUUGCAUCUAUUAUGGAUAGUCCCGAAGUUGAAAAAGACAUUAUAGUUAUUAAAAAUUGUUCAAUAAAUUCUGAAGUGAUGGAAAGUGAAGUGACAGAAAAAAGCACUGAUAACGAUUCUUUCGAUGAUGUCAUUGAAAUUAAGCCAAAUAUACCAGUUAUUGAUUUAACUAAAGAUUCUCCUGAUGCCAAUAUAACACAAAUAGACUCAAAAGAAGAUUUAUUGGAAUUAUUACACCAGGUUGACACAAGUGGUGAAAAAAUUACAAUCUAUCGAAGUGAUGAGACUUCGAACGAUUUGGCAGAAGUUCAAACAGUGUCUGUCUCAAUAUCACCAGCAGUACUAGGAGUGAAUGUGCAGAAAGAAAUCAAAACUGAUGAUGAAUCUGCUGAACCCAUUUCAAUUGUUGGAACAAAUGGAUCAAAUGAACAAACUGUUUCUCCAAUGGAAUACGAUGAAAUCACAACUUCAAUUGAUCCGAUAUCCGAAAAUAUAGAAACUACAUCAACAUUAUCCACACAAGUGGAAAAUGGUGGAAUAGCCGAGAGGCUCCUUAUGGAAAAAGAACAACCUGCCACAGAUAAUCUCCAUAUAGCUUCACCAACCCCUGUUGAAUCCAAUGAAGUAGAGUUUCUACAUCCAAAAACUUUGGACCAAAAUUCAGUCAGAAAAGUAACACCGAGAACAAAGAGCCAACUGAAUAAUACUUCAUUGGACGAAACGCCUCUUCACUCAACACCACAAACAAUAGGACAAAACUCAGAUCACUGCGAUAAUAUUGCAAAACUUACAAGAUUCGUUUUUCCACAUUACCUACAAAGAAUUCCACAGGGAAAUAGAUUGAAUCGAGCCCAAGUGAUGCAGCCUUCUGUGCCUUGUGGGGAAACUGUUUUAUUAUCCCAAACUAGUGAGGAAGGAACAAACGUACCAGAAGUGGUCAUUGGAAACAUAUCUUCAAAUAGUAAUGUGUCGCAGGUUCCAUGUCGCGCAGAAAUGAAUAGAAAUUUUCUUUUUUCCAAUCUGACUCAACAAGAAUAUUCAAUGGCAACUGUUCUCAUACCAUACAUUCACCUCAUGGUAUGCGUCAGAAAGGAUCUGACAGUUCACACGAAUAUUUUAAAGAAUAAUCUACAUUUUCUACCAGCAUUAGUGAAACAAGAGAUUAAACUGAGCGAAUAUGCCUACUCAUCUAAGUUGGAAGUUUAUUCAGAACAAAUUACGAAUGAAUUGAAGACACUGAAUUUAAUGGGCUCCAUGAAUAUCGUUACUGCUCAUGCCAUGAUAGAAUUGAUUUUUCGAAAUGUCUCAAAUGUUAAUAAGAAUUUCACUAAAACCAGUAUAAUUCUCUUUCUAGAACAUUUGAUGGAGCCACGUAACUCGUUUUACAAACGCUUUCGUUACCUACAGGCAUUUUAUGAUUACAUUAAAUUUCUUAGCAACGAAAUUCAACGACGUGGCCAACAAAUAGGAUUGACUUUAGGACAAAGAAAGAUUCUAGAGAACCAGAUUCGACAAUAUCAGCUUAUACUCGAAACCGAAAGAAAUCGACUCCGUAGUGCAGUGAAUCAGAAAACUACCCUCUACAAUUCUCGAAUAAUUCAAACAUAUUCAUCAAAUAAUCGAGAAGCUGAAAAGAUUAGUUUAUCGAAACCAGCCGGCUCUGGUUCCGUUGAUGCCACAGAGUUACCAGCCAGUCUUAGAUCACCUGCUCACAGACCUGCAGGUUUCACAGAUUCCUUGAGACAGAUUUUCGGUCAACCAAACCAUAACCAAAUGAAUUGUGCUAUACCCAAUUCUCCAGCAAUAGUCCAGUCUCCCGCUUACAGAUUUGAAAAAACACCUCAAAAUCAGUCUUCAGUGAUGCCAAAUCAAAGUAAAAUAAACGAUACUACACAUAUGCAACCAAUAGCGACUUCCAGAUUACCAGCUCACAGACCUGAAGAGAUGCAGUCACCUACAAUUCCCUACACUACUUCUAACAUAAGUAACGCUAGUGCGUUGACUCCCAGCCGUUUCACAGCACCUUUGAGAUACCAAGGUCGCUCACGAGGAGAGAUGCAAAAGCAACCACCGACAUAUUCUAGUAAUGCCAAUUUCAGCAAUAGUAAUACUCCCAUCACAUCUCCUGCUCGUGUGGGAAUACCCGCUUUCAGAUCCGAAGGACCUCAAUCCAGUCAAUUACCAGCACCAAUGACGUCGCUACUUCAUACUUCAUCUGAGAGCCCACCAUCACUGCCAUAUUCCAAUAGAGGUCAACCCAACAAUUCAUACCAAAGUUCACUAGUUCAGACACCUGAAGGUCUGCAUAAUGCAUCAAUGCAGUCCAAUUCUAAUAUGGCCUGUUAUUUGACACAUGCUGAAAAAUCACCAAAUCACAGAUCUAACAGUUCUCCGGCUAGUUUUUCACCAGUUUCGGCAUCCAUGAGUACUCCAGUACACCCUCCUGAUGUUGCCAAUGGACGCCAACUCAGGUUUGUGGUACCAAAUCAAUCUACCAUCAGAUCUACUAUCACGAGUUCUCCGGCGAGAAAUUCACCAAUUAUCUCAUCUCCUUCUCAAGUGGCGAAUCAAACUUCGCCAUAUAAUGCACCCAUCAUCAACAGUCCUUCAACGAGACCAGAGCAAGAUUCUUCAACAAAUGAUACAGUUAAUAUUUCCCAUAUUGAGUCUUCACCGAGGAGUACUAAUAUUGAAAAUUCUCCACAUGUGACACCUUGCCGUGCAUCAAUGCCGAAUCUCAUCAAUAUAAAACCUCCUGUGUAUGCCCCAAUGCCAUUCAGUCCUACGAAUUACAUCCAAGAUAAACCUGAUAACUCAAAUGAUGUAAAUGAGGAAAGUGCCCAAAAUCAUUGUGAAAAGGAAUCUGAUACUGAGGCUCAAGUUAUUGACUUGACCUGGCUAGAUGAAGUUGAUGAGGAGCAAAUUCAAAAAGAACUUGAUUUUAUCGUUGUGAAAAAAGAAGAACUGGAGGAUGAAGAAGUUAUAGUCAAUCGAGAACAGUUUCCUGUGGCUUACAUCAGUGGACCAACUGGAUCAAUAUGGGACUCUUCAUAAUGGUUGUCUGAAACUACCACUUUAUCUUCAAAAGAAGGUUUCUUCUCCAGCAGAUAGUGGAAUUGCUAGUCCAAGUCUUCAGGAAGAGUGCAGUGAACUUGUUUAUGUAGAUAGACUGUGCAUUUGUGA
Molecule: unclassified non-coding RNA, 6084 nt
Filed under: Leptinotarsa decemlineata (Colorado potato beetle)
Lineage: Eukaryota; Metazoa; Arthropoda; Insecta; Coleoptera; Chrysomelidae
Description: uncharacterized LOC111504042, transcript variant X1
Source: RNAcentral